CACAUGCAAGUCUCAGCACCCCAGUGAGGACGCCCUUAUCCCCUUCCCCAGGCUAAGGAGCCGGUAUCAGGCGCGGAAUUCCUGCCCACAACACCUAGUCUUACCACACCCCCAAGGGUCUUCAGCAGUGAUAGAUAUUGUUAAUGAGCGUCAGCUUGAACCAGUCAGAGAGAAGAGAGCCGGCUAACCUGGUGCCAGCCGCCGCGGCUACACCCCGGGGCUCAAACAGAUAACUAUCGGCGUUAAGCGUGAUUAAAGGCUCAUAUCACUAGAGUCAAACAAUUGCAUAGCUGUGAAAAGCUCGCUUUUUUGGAAGCCCAACAACGAAAGUCACUCUAAUAAACCCCUUGAAUACACGACAGCUAGGACACAAACUGGGAUUAGUAGAUACCCCAC
This 396-nucleotide ribosomal RNA is filed under the name Boophis tephraeomystax. RNAcentral describes it as "partial 12S ribosomal RNA". Lineage: Eukaryota; Metazoa; Chordata; Amphibia; Anura; Mantellidae. The record is from RNAcentral.